RNAcentral lists this ribosomal RNA (2905 nucleotides) under Enterobacter cloacae. Its description in RNAcentral is "23S ribosomal RNA". It matches the Rfam family "Bacterial large subunit ribosomal RNA". The record is from RNAcentral. RNAcentral also lists the same sequence under 1 other name. Lineage: Bacteria; Pseudomonadati; Pseudomonadota; Gammaproteobacteria; Enterobacterales; Enterobacteriaceae.
GGUUAAGCGACUAAGCGUACACGGUGGAUGCCCUGGCAGUCAGAGGCGAUGAAGGACGUGCUAAUCUGCGAAAAGCGCCGGCGAGGUGAUAUGAACCUUUGACCCGGCGAUGUCCGAAUGGGGAAACCCAGUGUGAUUCGUCACACUAUCGUUAACUGAAUACAUAGGUUAACGAGGCGAACCGGGGGAACUGAAACAUCUAAGUACCCCGAGGAAAAGAAAUCAACCGAGAUUCCCCCAGUAGCGGCGAGCGAACGGGGAGCAGCCCAGAGUCUGAAUCAGCUUGUGUGUUAGUGGAAGCGUCUGGAAAGUCGCACGGUACAGGGUGACAGUCCCGUACACGAAAGCACACAGGCUGUGAACUCGAAGAGUAGGGCGGGACACGUGGUAUCCUGUCUGAAUAUGGGGGGACCAUCCUCCAAGGCUAAAUACUCCUGACUGACCGAUAGUGAACCAGUACCGUGAGGGAAAGGCGAAAAGAACCCCGGCGAGGGGAGUGAAAAAGAACCUGAAACCGUGUACGUACAAGCAGUGGGAGCACCUUCGUGGUGUGACUGCGUACCUUUUGUAUAAUGGGUCAGCGACUUAUAUUCUGUAGCAAGGUUAACCGUAUAGGGGAGCCGAAGGGAAACCGAGUCUUAACUGGGCGUUAAGUUGCAGGGUAUAGACCCGAAACCCGGUGAUCUAGCCAUGGGCAGGUUGAAGGUUGGGUAACACUAACUGGAGGACCGAACCGACUAAUGUUGAAAAAUUAGCGGAUGACUUGUGGCUGGGGGUGAAAGGCCAAUCAAACCGGGAGAUAGCUGGUUCUCCCCGAAAGCUAUUUAGGUAGCGCCUCGUGAACUCAUCUUCGGGGGUAGAGCACUGUUUCGGCUAGGGGGCCAUCCCGGCUUACCAACCCGAUGCAAACUACGAAUACCGAAGAAUGUUAUCACGGGAGACACACGGCGGGUGCUAACGUCCGUCGUGAAGAGGGAAACAACCCAGACCGCCAGCUAAGGUCCCAAAGUCAUGGUUAAGUGGGAAACGAUGUGGGAAGGCACAGACAGCCAGGAUGUUGGCUUAGAAGCAGCCAUCAUUUAAAGAAAGCGUAAUAGCUCACUGGUCGAGUCGGCCUGCGCGGAAGAUGUAACGGGGCUAAACCAUGCACCGAAGCUGCGGCAGCGACGCUUAGGCGUUGUUGGGUAGGGGAGCGUUCUGUAAGCCGUUGAAGGUGUGCUGUGAGGCAUGCUGGAGGUAUCAGAAGUGCGAAUGCUGACAUAAGUAACGAUAAAGCGGGUGAAAAGCCCGCUCGCCGGAAGACCAAGGGUUCCUGUCCAACGUUAAUCGGGGCAGGGUGAGUCGACCCCUAAGGCGAGGCCGAAAGGCGUAGUCGAUGGGAAACAGGUUAAUAUUCCUGUACUUGGUGUUACUGCGAAGGGGGGACGGAGAAGGCUAUGUUAGCCGGGCGACGGUUGUCCCGGUUUAAGCAUGUAGGCGGAGGUUCCAGGUAAAUCCGGUACCUUUUAACGCUGAGGUGUGAUGACGAGGCACUACGGUGCUGAAGUAACAAAUGCCCUGCUUCCAGGAAAAGCCUCUAAGCAUCAGGUAACACGAAAUCGUACCCCAAACCGACACAGGUGGUCAGGUAGAGAAUACCAAGGCGCUUGAGAGAACUCGGGUGAAGGAACUAGGCAAAAUGGUGCCGUAACUUCGGGAGAAGGCACGCUGAUAUGUAGGUGAAGCCCCUGCGGGUGGAGCUGAAAUCAGUCGAAGAUACCAGCUGGCUGCAACUGUUUAUUAAAAACACAGCACUGUGCAAACACGAAAGUGGACGUAUACGGUGUGACGCCUGCCCGGUGCCGGAAGGUUAAUUGAUGGGGUUAGCGGUAACGCGAAGCUCUUGAUCGAAGCCCCGGUAAACGGCGGCCGUAACUAUAACGGUCCUAAGGUAGCGAAAUUCCUUGUCGGGUAAGUUCCGACCUGCACGAAUGGCGUAAUGAUGGCCAGGCUGUCUCCACCCGAGACUCAGUGAAAUUGAACUCGCUGUGAAGAUGCAGUGUACCCGCGGCAAGACGGAAAGACCCCGUGAACCUUUACUAUAGCUUGACACUGAACACUGGUCCUUGAUGUGUAGGAUAGGUGGGAGGCUUUGAAGCGUGGACGCCAGUCUGCGUGGAGCCAACCUUGAAAUACCACCCUUUAAUGGCUGGUGUUCUAACGUAGACCCGUGAUCCGGGUUGCGGACAGUGUCUGGUGGGUAGUUUGACUGGGGCGGUCUCCUCCCAAAGAGUAACGGAGGAGCACGAAGGUUAGCUAAUCCUGGUCGGACAUCAGGAGGUUAGUGCAAUGGCAUAAGCUAGCUUGACUGCGAGAGUGACGGCUCGAGCAGGUGCGAAAGCAGGUCAUAGUGAUCCGGUGGUUCUGAAUGGAAGGGCCAUCGCUCAACGGAUAAAAGGUACUCCGGGGAUAACAGGCUGAUACCGCCCAAGAGUUCAUAUCGACGGCGGUGUUUGGCACCUCGAUGUCGGCUCAUCACAUCCUGGGGCUGAAGUAGGUCCCAAGGGUAUGGCUGUUCGCCAUUUAAAGUGGUACGCGAGCUGGGUUUAGAACGUCGUGAGACAGUUCGGUCCCUAUCUGCCGUGGGCGCUGGAGAAUUGAGGGGGGCUGCUCCUAGUACGAGAGGACCGGAGUGGACGCAUCACUGGUGUUCGGGUUGUCAUGCCAAUGGCACUGCCCGGUAGCUAAAUGCGGAAAAGAUAAGUGCUGAAAGCAUCUAAGCACGAAACUUGCCCCGAGAUGAGUUCUCCCUGACCCUUUAAGGGUCCUGAAGGAACGUUGAAGACUACGACGUUGAUAGGUCGGGUGUGUAAGCGCAGCGAUGCGUUGAGCUAACCGAUACUAAUGAACCGUGAGGCUUAACCUU